GGGGCGUAAAGCGCGCGCAGGCGGUUUCUUAAGUCUGAUGUGAAAGCCCCCGGCUCAACCGGGGAGGGGCAUUGGAAACUGGGAGACUUGAGUGCAGAAGAGGAAAGUGGAAUUCCACGUGUAGCGGUGAAAUGCGUAGAGAUGUGGAGGAACACCAGUGGCGAAGGCGACUUUCUGGUCUGUAACUGACACUGAGGCGCGAAAGCGUGGGGAGCAAACAGGAUUAUAUACCCUGGUAGUCCACGCCGUAAACGAUGAGUGCUAAGUGUUAGAGGGUUUCCGCCCCUUAGUGCUGCAGCUAACGCAUUAAGCACUCCGCCGGGGGAGUACGGCCGCAAGACUGAAACUCAAAGGAAUUGACGGGGGCCCGCACAAGCGGUGGAACAUGUGUUUUAUUUCAAAACAACGCAAAAAACCUUAC
Molecule: ribosomal RNA, 421 nt
Filed under: Bacillus cereus
Lineage: Bacteria; Bacillati; Bacillota; Bacilli; Caryophanales; Bacillaceae
Description: bacterial SSU rRNA
Rfam family: Bacterial small subunit ribosomal RNA
Source: RNAcentral